GGAUGCGAUCAUACCAGCACUAAAGCAGCGGAUCCCAUCAGAACUCCGAAGUUAAGCGUGCUUGGGCGAGAGUAGUACUAGGAUGGGUGACCUCCUGGGAAGUCCUCGUGUUGCAUUCC
This is a ribosomal RNA of Sorghum bicolor (sorghum), 119 nucleotides long. The record is from Rfam. NCBI's taxonomy places the organism in Eukaryota, Viridiplantae, Streptophyta, Magnoliopsida, Poales, Poaceae.